CAAUUCUUACGCCGCCGGCGAGCCAUUCAACUCAUUUGAAGUUAGCUGAGUUAAUUCCCUCAAAUGAGCAAAAAUACCUGAAUCUGCUCCAAGGUCAGAAUUUUAUUUGGUGAUUCUCUUCUCAAAAAGAUGGCGAGCGACCGACGCACUGCUUCGAGGCCAGGCUUCUCCCUUUGAUGUCAAGCUAAGGAAAAAAAGCAUCUAGUCCACGGACCUGUUCUGGGGAGAUUCCAGCCAGGAACCCCACCACCUAUUCUGUCUGGGCUGGUAAGAGGCUCUCAAGCCACCCUCUACACACUUAAGCGCCAAAACCGUACCACAUGGACUGUACUGCUUAUACUGUCUCCAAGAACUUUAAUAUCUCAGCUGAGGUUAAACCAGAUCCAAAGACACUUAAUCAUUGAAUUGAUAUUGCGUCUAUGUUUAUAGUAAUUGUUUCCUUCAAACUGCUCUCACGUUGAAUGACCAUUCAACUCAUUGUUGUGCGUGUAUAUGUAUAGAUGCUGUCCAUCACUAACAAUUUAAUACAGGGUGACAAGCAAACAGUUAUUCAGUCUCUGCCUUCUCUCUUUGAGUCAAAACUCGAGUCUUCUGUUCCUAGCCCAUAACACCCCAUAUAUUUUACAUUGCUUUGUUGCAUGUAUAGGUUACACCAGCAUCAAGUCCUGCUCAAGCCAAGCCCACCCCCGGUUUCAGGUCCUGUUCAAGCCAACUUUGUUCCUGUUUUCAGGUCCUGCUCAAGCUA
Long non-coding RNA from Nerophis ophidion (straightnose pipefish), 745 nucleotides. RefSeq lists it as uncharacterized. Lineage: Eukaryota; Metazoa; Chordata; Actinopteri; Syngnathiformes; Syngnathidae. The transcript has 3 exons. The record is from RefSeq and is a predicted model, not a curated record.